GAUGAACGCUGGCGGCGUGCCUAAUACAUGCAAGUCGAGCGAACAGACGAGGAGCUUGCUCCGGUGGCGUUAGCGGCGGACGGGAGAGUAACACGGGGAUAACCUACCUAUAAGACUGGGAUAACUUCGGGAAACCGGAGCUAAUACCGGAGAAUAUAUUGAACCGGAUGGGGCAAUAGUGAAAGACGGUUUUGCUGUCGCUUAUAGAUGGAUCCGCGCCGCAUUAGCUAGUUGGUAAGGUAACGGCUUACCAAGGCAACGAUGCGUAGCCGACCUGAGAGGGUGAUCGGCCACACUGGAACUGAGACACGGUCCAGACUCCUACGGGAGGCAGCAGUAGGGAAUUUUCGGCAAUGGGCGAAAGCCUGAUGCAGCCACGCCGCGUGAGUGAUGAAGGUCUUCGGAUCGUAAAACUCUGUUAUUAGGGAAGAACAAAUGUGUACGUAACUAUGCACGUAUUGACGGUACCUGAUCAAAAAGCACCGGCUAACUACGUG
Molecule: ribosomal RNA, 497 nt
Filed under: uncultured bacterium
Lineage: Bacteria
Description: partial 16S ribosomal RNA
Rfam family: Bacterial small subunit ribosomal RNA
Source: RNAcentral